UGCAGUGUUGUAAGAAGUAGAAGCUGUCUUUGGUUGAUGGAUUCUUCAUGUGAGGAAUACCUAGUAAUGAAAACUGUGAGUUCAAGACUGAUUGAUCUGCGAGGUCUUCCUUGACAGAGCUCCUGAAUGAUCCCUCCAUCUGUAUGCAAAAUGACAUUUGAAGAACCACUUUUCAUUUGUUUUGAGUUUUUUUGAUGUGUACAGAUUAGUCAUUGGUGCCUCUGGGUUUCCAUUGAAAAUAAUGCAAGAAGAGUCUAUCAAUAUGGGAUGUGAAGAACUGACAAUGAAAGGUUUUAUCUUUCUAAGGUGGAUAGAAGAUGUAUCAUGGUUCUGGAGGUCUUAGAAUUAUAAGAACAUAAAUAAGAAAAUAAGUGGAUGGC
This 380-nucleotide long non-coding RNA is filed under the name Cyanistes caeruleus (blue tit). RNAcentral describes it as "lncRNA (ENSCCEG00000022756.1)". The record is from RNAcentral. Lineage: Eukaryota; Metazoa; Chordata; Aves; Passeriformes; Paridae.